UUGUCGAGACCCGAACGGACGAUCGCGAACCCGUAGACGCCCCCGCGGGGGGCGGAGGGAGGGCGGACACUCCAUCCGCCCGACCCCUGCGCCGCCCCGGGGUCACCAUGGCCGCCCCCGCCCCGCCUCGCCGCGGGACGGGCGGCGGGAACAAUACCCGGCGCGGUGGGCGCCAAGGAACAGUGCAGUCGGAGUGCACCGCGCGCCGGUCCCGGCGCGCGGCGCGAUCCUUCCAUACGUCGAACUUUUACGACUCUCGGCAACGGAUAUCUUGGCUCUCGCAUCGAUGAAGAACGUAGCGAAAUGCGAUACUUGGUGUGAAUUGCAGAAUCCCGUGAACCAUCGAGUCUUUGAACGCAAGUUGCGCCCGAGGCUAUCCGGCCGAGGGCACGCCUGCCUGGGCGUCACGCCUCGCGUCGCUCCGCGCACCCCACCCCCCGCCCGACCCGGGGAGGCGGCGGGCGCGGACGCGGAGAUUGGCCCCCCGUGCCUCGCGGCGCGGCGGGCCAAAGUGCGGGCCGCCGGCCGGGACGGACGCGGCGAGUGGUGGGCGGACACGUACGGCGCUGUAAGCCGCCUCCGACCCCCGGCCCCAGCGGCGCAUGCUAGGAACCCAUGCCGAGCACCCCUCGGAACACGAUCCCA
This 645-nucleotide ribosomal RNA is filed under the name Tupistra pingbianensis. RNAcentral describes it as "eukaryotic LSU rRNA". The stretch from base 252 to 407 matches the Rfam family "5.8S ribosomal RNA". The record is from RNAcentral. Lineage: Eukaryota; Viridiplantae; Streptophyta; Magnoliopsida; Asparagales; Asparagaceae.